UCCGGGAUGACUGAGUGGCGGACGGGUGAGUAACACGUAUGCAACCUGCCCCUGUCAGGGGGACAACCCGCCGAAAGGCGGGCUAAACCCGCGUACAUGCCACCGGGGCAUCCCGGAGGCAGGAAAGGCUUCGGCCGGACAGGGAUGGGCAUGCGGCGCAUUAGGCAGUAGGCGGGGUAACGGCCCACCUAACCGACGAUGCGUAGGGGUUCUGAGAGGAAGGUCCCCCACACUGGUACUGAGACACGGACCAGACUCCUACGGGAGGCAGCAG
This 274-nucleotide ribosomal RNA is filed under the name uncultured bacterium. RNAcentral describes it as "partial 16S ribosomal RNA". It matches the Rfam family "Bacterial small subunit ribosomal RNA", at positions 81 to 354 of the family's 1533-position model. The record is from RNAcentral.